RNAcentral lists this ribosomal RNA (143 nucleotides) under uncultured eukaryote. Its description in RNAcentral is "partial 18S ribosomal RNA". It matches the Rfam family "Eukaryotic small subunit ribosomal RNA", at positions 1299 to 1457 of the family's 1831-position model. The record is from RNAcentral.
UGGUGGAGCGAUUUGUCCGGUCAAUUCCGAUAACGAACGAGACUCUAGCCUACUAAAUAGUUCGGGGACCCCCACAAAGGGGCCCCGCUUCAACUUCUUAGAGGGACAGGUGGCGUUUAGCCACACGAGAUUGAGCAAUAACG